ACAUGGUGUGGUGGUGUGUGCCUGUUGUCCUAGCUACUUGGGAGGCUGAGACAGGAGGAUCUUCUGAGCCCAGGAGGUCUGGGCUGUAAAGCAGUAUGUCAAUUGGGUGUCCACACUAAGUUCAGCAUCAGUAUGAUGACCUCUUCGAAGCAAGGACCACCAUGUUGCCUAAGGAGGGAUGAACUGGCCCAGGUUGGAAACAGAGUAGGUCAAAACUCCCAUGCUGAUCAGUAGUGGGAUGGAGCCUGUGAAUAGCUGUUACACUCUGGCCUGGGCAAUGAAAAAAAUAUGUAUAU
This 296-nucleotide signal recognition particle RNA is filed under the name Mandrillus leucophaeus (drill). RNAcentral describes it as "Metazoan signal recognition particle RNA (ENSMLEG00000010129.1)". It matches the Rfam family "Metazoan signal recognition particle RNA". Rfam says of the family: The signal recognition particle (SRP) is a universally conserved ribonucleoprotein. Lineage: Eukaryota; Metazoa; Chordata; Mammalia; Primates; Cercopithecidae. The record is from RNAcentral.